RNAcentral lists this long non-coding RNA (2326 nucleotides) under Polistes dominula (European paper wasp). Its description in RNAcentral is "uncharacterized LOC107074697, transcript variant X2". Lineage: Eukaryota; Metazoa; Arthropoda; Insecta; Hymenoptera; Vespidae. The record is from RNAcentral.
CACAAAUAUGGCGCCUCCACCCGUUUUCCCAACCCCUACAUACCGUGGCUGCAUAAAGUGCGAGAGCGAGAGUAGAGAGUAACAAGGGGUAGGGAUAGGAAGGAAGAAAGGGCAAGAGAGAGUAACCAUGCUUUCUCUUCUCUCUCUCUCUCACUCCUUCCGUGAAUAGAAUAUAUGUAGACGCACGUAUCUCACUCUCACUCCCUCAUCACGGUUGCGAACGUACAUGCGCAAGUAGUGAAGACCGGGUUGCUCGCGUGUGUGGUAAGGGGAUGCCCCUAUGUGAAUAUCGCGCAGCACACAGUCCCAAGCAGUUUCCUACUUGAUUGCCGCUAUCGUCCAGCAGCCUCGUAAGGGAAGCCGUCCGCGUGGAUUCUGUUACUACACCUCGACCAAUCAGAACGUUCAAAGUCGAGCCUUGGCCAAUCGUAGCCUUAUACGCCCUACCACUCUGUGCUACUGGCGCAAAGACUCGAAUGAGAGCUCGUCCUCGUCCAAUCCUCGACGUGACUUUUUCGAUCGACGUCAGCAUGUUUAGUCCGCGCGGACUUCUUCGUUCUCUCUCUUUCUCGCGUUCUCUAUGGCCAUAGCUAUACGAAAUGAAGGUGCUACGCGAAGCCGCAGCGAAACAUGAAAAAUAGGGGGCUACACGAGGAAAAACACGGUUGAGGGAGGAGGUGGAGAAGGUGGUGCUGGUGAAGGAUGAAGAGGAGGUGGAAGAGGACUCUGUGGGAUGGACCCUACGAACCGAAACAGCAAAGGCUGUUCAGGGUGAUGUGAUGUGGUGGUGGUGAUGGUGGCAGCGGUGGUGGUAACGGUGGCGGCGGUGGUGCUGCGCCGGUCGGAAGAUAGAAAGGCCGAGGAUGAGAAUGGAAAAGUAACAUAACGAAACGUCGAUCCCAUUACCUGAAGCUCUCUCGCUCUGCCGUACAGCGAGCCUUGCUUUCGACCCUUAAUCCAAAGAAGGAUUAGAAAACCCCAUUGUCAUGCUUCGCGGAACGCGAGAUGAGUCGUAUAUUCGUCGGUUGGUGCAUGGCGGAGGCGAUGGUGCGGGACCUACCCUUAAUGAAAUAAAUACGUGACGUACCGCGGCAACGGUGGGUUUUGUUUAUCGCGAAAACCGUGAGCGUAUUUUGCUUUGUCUCUCUCUCUUUCUCCCUUCCUCUCUUUUCUCAGGUGCGGCUCUUUAUCUCCUUUCCACCGAGUGAAGAAGGAAUAUAAGGUAGUACCGUGGAGUGUUGGCGUAGCUGUCGGUCGCGCUUGGUCGGCUGCGGUUUAUACGAGAGCCGCCUUGCCAGCCGCUUGCCGCCUGCCGCAGCCGGUUUGCGUGUUCACCGUGUUCGCUCCGUAGAUACGUGUCCUCGGUGCGGCUCUGCGCGGUACUCACCGAACUCUGGCCAAAGCGCGACCGAGAGGGAAAAGGAACGAAAGUGGCGCGUAGACGAGAAGCACGCGAGCAAGUGCAAGAGAGAUCGAACGAUACCGUGAAAAGCGAUAGCGAGAGAGACCCCAAUAAGCGGCAGAACCAGUCGCUGCGGUUGCCGCGGCUAACCACACCGAUGUUCUCAACCUGCGGCGAUCUUGCCCGAUCAUCGCGGAUCUUGCGAAUUACGAAAAGCUGCAAGAUAGUGCAACGCGAAGCGUUCGACCGUGUAAGAGGAUAGAAGUAACGCAGGAAGGAAGAUAAAGAAAAACGUGACACUAGGCCCCUUUGGAAUUUACCUUUGCGCAAGAAAAAGAGUCAACAGCUUAGAGCCUCGUUAACUCGCCAAACUUGGCCGAUGGGUUUCCGAGCAUUGGGAGAGUCUAGCAGGAAUACAACAUAUACAUUUAAUUACUCGUUACUGUUCUUUCCUCCUAUUUCUCUUUCGAACCCUGUUCCGUAAUCUCGAAACGAAUUCGUUUCGUCUGUUGCAGUUUCUUCUCGCUCCCGAUCCUUCUCCGUUCUCCACGCUUUCAUGCUCGCACGCACGAAGCGAAUCAGCGAAUUACGACGAUUGAAAUUCAAUUCUGCGCGCAACCGAGCGGCUAAUUAGACGCAGUUGCUGUGGCAACGCCACGUGUUGCACUAGCUCGUGCGAUCGCGCGUAUACGCCCGCAUAAACGCCCGCAUCCUAGUAUCCUCCUCGCUUAGGGAACGCGGGCAAGACUUAUGUGUACAUACUCUUGCUUGCCUCUCUCUCCCUCUUUCUCUCGAUAUACCUUCAAAGGACAGGUGUAUCAAAUGAUUAAAAGCGAUUAUGCAGGUAUCUUUUUCAAGAUUUGUCAGAUAUUCUAUCAAGGGAUAUAUACUCUUUGAUUUAUAUUUUCAAAUAUAUUAAAUCUU